GACAGAGGGGGCAAGCGUUGCUCGGAAUUACUGGGCGUAAAGGGCGCGUAGGCGGGAUGGCAAGUCGGUCGUGAAAUCCCUCGGCUCAACUGAGGAGCGUCGAUCGAAACUGCCGUUCUUGAGGGUUGCAGAGGAGACUGGAAUUCCCGGUGUAGCGGUGAAAUGUGUAGAGAUCGGGAGGAACACCGGUGGCGAAGGCGGGUCUCUGGGCCGAUACUGACGCUGAGGAGCGAAAGCGUGGGGAGCGAACAGG
This 253-nucleotide ribosomal RNA is filed under the name uncultured bacterium. RNAcentral describes it as "partial 16S ribosomal RNA". It matches the Rfam family "Bacterial small subunit ribosomal RNA", at positions 524 to 776 of the family's 1533-position model. The record is from RNAcentral.